RNAcentral lists this long non-coding RNA (1300 nucleotides) under Monodelphis domestica (gray short-tailed opossum). RNAcentral's name for it is "lncRNA (ENSMODG00000046313.1)". The record is from RNAcentral. Lineage: Eukaryota; Metazoa; Chordata; Mammalia; Didelphimorphia; Didelphidae.
UAAAAUAAUGGAAGUCAUCUGAGGCAACAAAGAAAGUGUCCUUCUGAAGAGUCCGGAGAUGUCCUGAUUGGAGUCACCACUGUAAAAUCUCCUGUCAGAACUCAGGGGUUAUUGGGAAGGUUGGACUGAUCUCCUCUUGCUUUCUCUGACCUAAGAGAGUGUCUGGAAGAUGCCCUGACUUUGGGAGGAGACCACAGGCUUGUUAAAGGGCAAAGAGGGUUGGGAAUUUACUGUUAUACUGAAGCAAUAAAAGCAUGCUGUGCAGGGAAGAAAAAGAGGAUGCCAACCUUUAGAAGUCCUGACUGACUGUGCUGGUCUCCAGGCUGCCUGCAAUGGAAAAUUUUUGAGAAGCAUUUAUUUUCGACACUCUGUCCUCACCUGAAGGCAUUUUGGCCUUUUCCAUGACUGAACAUCCACCCAAGGUUUAGAUAUUGGUGAACAUAAAAGGUCAACCAAAGACUGCUUGCUGACUUGGGCAGCUACACCCUGAUAUCAGCAGCAAAAUGGGCCCACACAGGGAAUUCUCCACCUGUAAGACAGUGUCUCUGAGCCCUGUUCCCCAAGAGGGGCCUUCGUUACAGUGACUGCUCUCUUAUUUUUGAAUCCAAUCGAGGCAGUGACAGACUUCAGUGGCAGCUGAAAGACUCAGCCUGGGAGUGAGAAAAUGUGAAUUUGACUCCACCAAGUGUGUCUCUGUGUGCCUCACUUUCUCCAUCUGAAAAUUCUCUCUCCUGUAGCUUUAAUUCAGGAAACAUGUCUGACCCAGACACAGAUGAAUGGAUGAAUGAAAAAUACACUGAAGAUUUUAACUAUGUGCCUGACUCUGCUAGGCAUGGAGAAUAUAAUACAAAAAUAGUCAAUAAGAUGUGCCAGUCAACUUCUGGAAGACAGAAUGAGGCUUAUUAUUUCAUGCAACUUGCAAGUCAAAAUAUCCUUCAUCAUGAUGUCAUUGGUCUUAUUCUAAAAUUAAGGACAAAUAACAUCAGCAAUAAGCAACAACUGCUCCCUUCUAUCAAGACACAGUAUUCAUUGGCUGUUAAAAUGUCUUCAGUGGAACAUGGACCAUAUGGCUUUUUUUCGAACUGGGAAAAACCAAACUCCUGUUCAAAUCCUACUUGAUGAAAGCAGGCUUGUCACUUGGAUUUCCUGGGUAUGCAAAUGGACCAGGGCCCAAGAAGAGCCCUUCAGUGUCUUGUUCCAUGCUACCUUCAUGGUAUAGACACCUCCUAAUGGGAGACAGCCUAAAAAAGGCUCCCAUUUUCCUACUGAAAUAAAGGCCUAGUGCCCCAACUGUAGAGCA